GACGAGACGAAUCUAGUCCAGUUGGCUGAGUCUAUAUUUCAUACUCCUAUUUAAAAGUCAAACGCUUGAUGUGACCCGGGAUAAACUUUAGCAGAAGUAACCAAACACCCCCUAAAUCAUGGUAAUUGAUAACGAAGAAAUCAAAAAUGUAAAAUAGAUGGCAACGGAAAAAAUCAAUAAUUUUGAAUAACAAUGAAAAAAAUAUUAUAGGAUUGAACGACAACGACUGGAUUCUCUCUCAAAAAAAGACGGGAGGAGUACUCUCUGGCUCUUUGCCAGUCAAUGAGCUGUAGAGAGCUGGGAAACGACAGUGUAGCUGGUGCCCUGCUGAACAUGGAGUGGCAGACGCAGACGGCAUCCCUCCUCUUUCGUGAAAUGCGGCGCCGGGCCCCGUCGUCUGGCGUCUGGCGUCUGGCGUCGCCGCUCGCCAAACAGGCAGCAGACGCGCUCCUGUCCUGUCCUGUGGGCGCGCGCUUGGACUCUUCUCCUUGCCUCCGUCGUAGCCGUGGCCACACCGGCCAGGGGAGAUCAGAUCACGAUCACGACGGCCGCGCUGAGUCACUCGCUUCGCCUCCAGUCCCGAGGGACGGCGAAGGAGACACGCACGACGUGUCAUCUAGUAAUGCAC
This 628-nucleotide unclassified non-coding RNA is filed under the name Zea mays. Its description in RNAcentral is "misc RNA Zm00001eb379900". Lineage: Eukaryota; Viridiplantae; Streptophyta; Magnoliopsida; Poales; Poaceae. The record is from RNAcentral.